RNAcentral lists this small RNA (920 nucleotides) under Pan troglodytes (chimpanzee). RNAcentral describes it as "retained intron". The record is from RNAcentral. Lineage: Eukaryota; Metazoa; Chordata; Mammalia; Primates; Hominidae.
GAGCGGGAACAGCUCUUAGCCUCACGGAGCCUGUCGGGCAGUCCUGACGUGGAGGAGUGUGGUGAGCACCAAACCUAGCCCCCACCCCAACCCUUCCUGGCCCAGUCAGAAGCCCCAUUCCAGUUCUUCCUCUAACCUGAGUAAGAUUCUGCAGAACCCGGCCAAAGCCCGCUCUCUAGGUUGGCCCCUAAAGCCCUCUUGGCUUGAGUAGGGUUCGGGGAUCUCCGUUCCCAGCUCCCAACACCGGACAGUGCCACCUGUGCCUGCCUCCCUCGGAGCCCUGGGACCAGACCCUGGGAGUGGUCAACUUCCCCAGAAAGGCCAGCCGCAAGCCCCCCAGGGAGGAGAGCUCUGCCACCUGUGUUCUGGAACAGCCUGGGGCCCUUGGGGCCCAAAUUCUGCUGGUGCAGAGGCCCAACUCAGGUCUGCUGGCAGGACUGUGGGAGUUCCCGUCCGUGACCUGGGAGCCCUCAGAGCAGCUUCAGCGCAAGGCCCUGCUGCAGGAACUACAGCGUUGGGCUGGGCCCCUCCCAGCCACGCGCCUCCGGCACCUUGGGGAGGUUGUCCACACCUUCUCUCACAUCAAGCUGACGUAUCAAGUAUAUGGGCUGGCCUUGGAAGGGCAGACCCCAGUGACCACCGUACCACCAGGUGCUCGCUGGCUGACCCAGGAGGAAUUUCACACCGCAGCUGUUUCCACCGCCAUGAAAAAGGUUUUCCGUGUGUAUCAGGGCCAACAGCCAGGGACCUGUAUGGGUUCCAAAAGGUCCCAGGUGUCCUCUCCGUGCAGUCGGAAAAAGCCCCGCAUGGGCCAGCAAGUCCUGGAUAAUUUCUUUCGGUCUCACAUCUCCACUGAUGCACACAGCCUCAACAGUGCAGCCCAGUGACACCUCUGAAAGCCCCCAUUCCCUGAGAAUCCU